UGCCAGCCGCCGCGGUAAUACAGAGGGUGCAAGCGUUAAUCGGAAUGACUGGGCGUAAAGGGCGUGUAGGUGGUUAUUUAAGUUGGAUGUGAAAUCCCCGGGCUUAACCUGGGAACUGCAUCCGAUACUGGGUAACUAGAGUAUAGGAGAGGGAAGUGGAAUUUCCGGUGUAGCGGUGAAAUGCGUAGAUAUCGGAAGGAACACCAGUGGCGAAGGCGGCUUCCUGGCCUAAUACUGACACUGAGGCGCGAAAGCGUGGGUAGCGAACAGGAUUAGAUA
RNAcentral lists this ribosomal RNA (279 nucleotides) under uncultured bacterium. RNAcentral describes it as "partial 16S ribosomal RNA". It matches the Rfam family "Bacterial small subunit ribosomal RNA", at positions 506 to 784 of the family's 1533-position model. The record is from RNAcentral.